UGAGGAAUAUUGGACAAUGGGCGCAAGCCUGAUCCAGCCAUGCCGCGUGCAGGAAGACGGUCCUAUGGAUUGUAAACUGCUUUUAUACAGGAAGAAACACCUCUACGUGUAGAGACUUGACGGUACUGUAUGAAUAAGCAUCGGCUAACUCCGUGCCAGCAGCCGCGGUCAUACGGAGGAUGCAAGCGUUAUCCGGAAUCAUUGGGUUUAAAGGGUCCGUAGGCGGCCAAAUAAGUCAGUGGUGAAAGC
RNAcentral lists this ribosomal RNA (249 nucleotides) under uncultured Flavobacterium sp. RNAcentral describes it as "partial 16S ribosomal RNA". It matches the Rfam family "Bacterial small subunit ribosomal RNA", at positions 355 to 601 of the family's 1533-position model. The record is from RNAcentral. Lineage: Bacteria; Pseudomonadati; Bacteroidota; Flavobacteriia; Flavobacteriales; Flavobacteriaceae.